GUGAGGAAUAUUGCGCAAUGGAGGCAACUCUGACGCAGCCAUGCCGCGUGCAGGAAGAAGGCGCUACGCGUUGUAAACUGCUUUUAACCGGGAAGAAACCCCAGGACGUGUCCUGGGUUGACGGUACCGGAGGAAUAAGCACCGGCUAACUUCGUGCCAGCAGCCGCGGUAAUACGAAGGGUGCAAGCGUUAUCCGGAUUCAUGGGGUUUAAAGGGUGCGUAGGCGGAGCGUUAAGUCAGUGGUGAAAUCCUGCAGCUUAACUGUAGACUUGCCAUUGAUACUGGCGCUCUUGAGUGCGCUUGAAGUGGGCGGAAUGUGCCGUGUAGCGGUGAAAUGCUUAGAUAUGGCACAGAACACCAAUUGCGAAGGCAGCUCACUAAGGCGAUACUGACGCUGAGGCACGAAAGCGUGGGGAUCGAACAGGAUUAGAAACCCGAGUAGUCC
This 445-nucleotide ribosomal RNA is filed under the name uncultured bacterium. RNAcentral's name for it is "partial 16S ribosomal RNA". It matches the Rfam family "Bacterial small subunit ribosomal RNA", at positions 354 to 796 of the family's 1533-position model. The record is from RNAcentral.